Xenopus laevis (African clawed frog) is the source of this 1828-nucleotide long non-coding RNA. RefSeq lists it as uncharacterized. NCBI's taxonomy places the organism in Eukaryota, Metazoa, Chordata, Amphibia, Anura, Pipidae. The transcript has 8 exons. The record is from RefSeq and is a predicted model, not a curated record.
UGAUGUGUGAUGCAUACAUCACACGUCACCUGUGAUUUUGGCUGGGUAAUUAAAAGGCUGUAUUUUCUACCUCUGUUACUAUGUUAGGUGAAGCAUAGCAACAAAAUGAGGGUAUGAGAAUAGGGCAAAGGCAUGGGGAAGUAAUUAGAAGAGUGGCUCUGCUUAAUUUAUACCCUCAGGAUUAUGGAUUAAUAUCAAAUAGGGAUGCAUGGGUCUGCCAGAAACCUGUGGGCCAGUAUGAUUUACCCACUGAUAAGGAAGUUCAAGUUCCAAAAAUAUAUUACUUGUGUUGGUUAGGGCAAGUGUUAACUUCAGAAUAAGAAAAGUUAUGCACAGUUGGACCUCGCCUUAAAUGCUUUGUGAUCCCCCCAUCUGUGAUGUGUUAGUCUCAGUUGGAUCCAGAUAAUUAAAAUGGCUUCACAUAUGUGUGGUUUUGGGUUUCAAAUCAUAGUGACAACAGAGAACUAAGCAAUUUGAAUAGUUCAGCUGACUACAUUAUUACAUUAAACACAAUAUUUUCCUUAAUUAUGUAAAUACUUGUGUAACUGCAAAUAGCAGGUCUCAGCACACAGCACAGGGACCCUCAGGAAGAAUUGCAAUAGAGGAAGAUUGUCCACUGCAGGCUUCAGUAGUUUGCAUGUGCUAGACUGCAAUACAAUGUGCAGGUGUAGUUUUGCAGACAGCAGCUGUUACCAUUAACACGGAAGUCUUAAUAGCUUCAUGACUACUGGAUACAAACAAGACUGGACUGGGAUUCAAAAUAAGCCCUGGUAUUCUUAGUACACAGAGGCCCAAACAACCCCUACCUGCCCACUUAAUAGUCACUUUCUAUGGAAUCUUACAGCAGCCCCUCUGGCAUUUGCCAGAACCCACAGAUUGCCAGUCUGGGCCUGGAUACAAAUAUUCUGGUGAACAUGACAGCCAAAUAUCUUUGCAAACACCUCUUUGUGCCAGGAUUUUACACUUGACUGCUCUUUUGCAUAAUCAUUACACUGCUUUUUAAAGAUGUGAUAUUACAGUGUUCUACGACAUUGAAACGAUGAUGUAAAGUUUAUUUUAAGGCAAACACCUCUUUGUGCCAGGAUUUUACACUUGACUGCUCUUUUGCAUAAUCAUUACACUGCUUUUUAAAGAUGUGAUAUUACAGUGUUCUACGACAUUGAAACGAUGAUGUAAAGUUUAUUUUAAGCGUUCUGCCAGCGAGUUCAAUUCUACAGUGGUUUCUGAGACCACCCCUCCUGGUUUGCCCUUUACAAUGAUGUGCAUCACCCUUCCUUUGUUAAUAUGGGCAUCAAAGGUGCUGUCCCACGGAGGAUACAUGGUAUGAUGUGCCAUUAAGGAUCAUGUUUUAGCACAAACUGAACCAAUGGAUGGAUUAUCUGCAAGAUUAAUGAAAUACUGCAACUCAAAGUUCAAUAUCUGCGAUGACAACAAUACCUCUGCUGAUUCCACUGGACUGAUGUCUAUUGUAGAGAUUCCAGUGUUCCUGUGUCCUGAUCCCUACCUACGUGGAUUUCCCGAUGCUCUGGUCAUCCAUUCUCACAAGUGAUUAGUAAUUAGAAAAGAAGAAGAUGAUGAUUCAGAUCCCCUGUGCCUUAUUGGAAAACCUUUUGAAACUAUGCUUAAGGAUUUUAACAAAACAGCAUUUCUCUAGAAUAGCACACCUCUGCAGUAUGAGGUGUAAUGAAAGAUGGCAUAGCAUUAUCUAAUUACUAUGCCACUGUUCUCUACAUCCUAAUUACAUUAAAAUGAAUUGGGUCUAGUAUAUUAGAAGAGGGCAAAGAAUUUUACUAUUUUACUUAAUAAAAUGCAAAAAUCUUUUAAUGUU